RNAcentral lists this ribosomal RNA (498 nucleotides) under uncultured bacterium. Its description in RNAcentral is "partial 16S ribosomal RNA". It matches the Rfam family "Bacterial small subunit ribosomal RNA", at positions 30 to 523 of the family's 1533-position model. The record is from RNAcentral.
AUUGAACGCUGGCGGCAUGCCUUACACAUGCAAGUCGAACGGUAACAGGUCUUCGGAUGCUGACGAGUGGCGAACGGGUAAGUAACACAUCGGAACGUGCCUAGUAGUGGGGGGUAACUACUCGAAAGAGUGGCUAAUACCGCAUGAGAUCUACGGAUGAAAGCAGGGGAUCGCAAGACCUUGUGCUACUAGAGCGGCCGAUGGCAGAUUAGGUAGUUGGUGGGAUAAAAGCUUACCAAGCCGACGAUCUGUAGCUGGUCUGAGAGGACGAUCAGCCACACUGGGACUGAGAAACGGCCCAGACUCCUACGGGAGGCAGCAGUGGGGAAUUUUGGACAAUGGGCGCAAGCCUGAUCCAGCAAUGCCGCGUGCAGGAUGAAGGCCUUCGGGUUGUAAACUGCUUUUGUACGGAACGAAAAGCCCCGGGUUAAUACCCUGGGGUCAUGACGGUACCGUAAGAAUAAGCACCGGCUAACUACGUGCCAGCCGCCGCGGUAA